CGGGGAGUAGCGCAGUUUGGCUAGCGCGCUUGCUUCGGGAGCAAGAGGUCGACGGUUCAAGUCCGUCCUCCCCGA
Molecule: transfer RNA, 75 nt
Filed under: Candidatus Omnitrophota bacterium
Lineage: Bacteria; Pseudomonadati; Candidatus Omnitrophota
Description: Candidatus Omnitrophica bacterium tRNA-Pro
Rfam family: tRNA
About the family: Transfer RNA (tRNA) molecules are approximately 80 nucleotides in length. Their secondary structure includes four short double-helical elements and three loops (D, anti-codon, and T loops).
Source: RNAcentral